RNAcentral lists this ribosomal RNA (547 nucleotides) under uncultured bacterium. RNAcentral's name for it is "bacterial SSU rRNA". It matches the Rfam family "Bacterial small subunit ribosomal RNA", at positions 355 to 896 of the family's 1533-position model. The record is from RNAcentral.
UGGGGAAUAUUGCGCAAUGGGGGGAACCCUGACGCAGCCAUGCCGCGUGAAUGAAGAAGGCCUUAGGGUUGUAAAGUUCUUUCGGUAUUGAGGAAGGUUGAUGUGUUAAUAGCACAUCAAAUUGACGUUAAAUACAGAAGAAGCACCGGCUAACUCCGUGCCAGCAGCCGCGGUAAUACGGAGGGUGCGAGCGUUAAUCGGAAUAACUGGGCGUAAAGGGCACGCAGGCGGUUAUUUAAGUGAGGUGUGAAAGCCCCGGGCUUAACCUGGGAAUUGCAUUUCAGGCUGGGUAACUAGAGUACUUUAGGGAGGGGUAGAAUUCCACGUGUAGCGGUGAAAUGCGUAGAGAUGUGGAGGAAUACCGAAGGCGAAGGCAGCCCCUUGGGAAUGUACUGACGCUCAUGUGCGAAAGCGUGGGGAGCAAACAGGAUUAGAUACCCUGGUAGUCCACGCUGUAAACGCUGUCGAUUUGGGGGUUGGGGUUUAACUCUGGCGCCCGUAGCUAACGUGAUAAAUCGACCGCCUGGGGAGUACGGCCGCAAGGUUA